Molecule: ribosomal RNA, 257 nt
Filed under: uncultured bacterium
Lineage: Bacteria
Description: partial 16S ribosomal RNA
Rfam family: Bacterial small subunit ribosomal RNA
Source: RNAcentral
UACAGAGACCUCAAGCGUUAUCCGGAAUCAUUGGACGUAAAGCGUACCGAUAGGUGGUUUACCAAGUCAGAUGUGAAAUCUCCGAGCUCAACUCGGAAUCUGUCAUUUGAAACUGGUAGACUAGAGGGGCAAAGAGGAAGCUGGAACGAACGGUGUAGUAGUGAAAUGCGUUGAUAUCGUUCGGAACACCAAUAGCGAAGGCGGGCUUCUGGGUGCCACCUGACACUGCUAGGACGAAAGCGUGGGGAGCGAAUGGG